Molecule: long non-coding RNA, 438 nt
Organism: Cyanistes caeruleus (blue tit)
Lineage: Eukaryota; Metazoa; Chordata; Aves; Passeriformes; Paridae
Source: Ensembl
GGGUAUUUAACACCCAGUCCUAGAUGCUCCCAUUGCAUGGAGUGACUAUCUGCUUAACACUUCUGAAUAUUGGACCUUGGAAAUUUCAAGUGGGCAUGGCAAAGCUGGAGAGCAAGUUAGACUGCCUGUGGGCUACCAGAGCAGGCCACAGGUGGAGAGUCCUCAUUGCCUUAGGUGUGAAGUACUUAGCUGAGAGAAGCCUUAGUUGUCUGAUUUGUGACAGGUUCUUGUGUAAACCAGAAGAACUAAGGUGGGAGAAAUUGGUCUGUUUUCUGUAAAUAAAUCCAUAGGAGGGCAGAAGGACAAAAAUACAAAGGAUGAGAACACAGGUGACCUGUUGCACCAUGUGAAAAAGCAUAUAUGCUGCUCAGCAUGAAGAAUAAUAUCCUGACUGUUCAGUACAAUAAAGUAGUAUAUCUAUAAGCUGUCUUGAUUUCA